This 253-nucleotide ribosomal RNA is filed under the name uncultured bacterium. RNAcentral describes it as "partial 16S ribosomal RNA". It matches the Rfam family "Bacterial small subunit ribosomal RNA", at positions 524 to 776 of the family's 1533-position model. The record is from RNAcentral.
UACGUAGGUGGCAAGCGAUAUCCGGAUUUAUUGGGCGUAAAGGGAACGCAGGCGGUCUUUUAAGUCUGAUGUGAAAGCCUUCGGCUUAACCGGAGUAGUGCAUUGGAAACUGGGAGACUUGAGUGCAGAAGAGGAGAGUGGAACUCCAUGUGUAGCGGUGAAAUGCGUAGAUAUAUGGAAGAACACCAGUGGCGAAAGCGGCUCUCUGGUCUGUAACUGACGCUGAGGUUCGAAAGCGUGGGUAGCAAACAGG